Molecule: ribosomal RNA, 572 nt
Filed under: uncultured bacterium
Lineage: Bacteria
Description: partial 16S ribosomal RNA
Rfam family: Bacterial small subunit ribosomal RNA
Source: RNAcentral
UGGGGGAAUAUUGGACAAUGGGCGAAAGCCUGAUCCAGCAAUGCCGCGUGUGUGAAGAAGGCCUUCGGGUUGUAAAGCACUUUUGUCCGGAAAGAAAUCCUUGGCUCUAAUACAGUCGGGGGAUGACGGUACCGGAAGAAUAAGCACCGGCUAACUACGUGCCAGCAGCCGCGGUAAUACGUAGGGUGCAAGCGUUAAUCGGAAUUACUGGGCGUAAAGCGUGCGCAGGCGGUUUGCUAAGACCGAUGUGAAAUCCCCGGGCUCAACCUGGGAACUGCAUUGGUGACUGGCAGGCUAGAGUAUGGCAGAGGGGGGUAGAAUUCCACGUGUAGCAGUGAAAUGCGUAGAGAUGUGGAGGAAUACCGAUGGCGAAGGCAGCCCCCUGGGCCAAAUACUGACGCUCAUGCACGAAAGCGUGGGGAGCAAACAGGAUUAGAUACCCUGGUAGUCCACGCCCUAAACGAUGUCAACUAGUUGUUGGGGAUUCAUUUCCUUAGUAACGUAGCUAACGCGUGAAGUUGACCGCCUGGGGAGUACGGUCGCAAGAUUAAAACUUAAAUGAAUUGACGGGG